CUUAGAAACUAGGAAUUCAACACAAUCACACUCCUAGAAGAAUGUUACAGUCAAUGAAGAGAAGGCUGGGCUGAGCAGGACUUUCCCUUUCCCCUGUUGAGGAUUUGCAAAGGAGUUCAGGAUCCACCAGAAAGGGAUGGAAAGCCCAUAAAGGGGAGCUUGGCCCUGCAUAAUCACUAGGCUUUGUGGGUAGGAAUGAAACGAUGGGACAGACUGUGCAUUUUAUAUUAAACAGUCACUGGAUUUAAGAGCAGCAACAGGAAAAGUACCGACGCUCCCACAUCAGUACUUAACCAUAACAGAGUCAAGCUCCAUCCUGCUACAGGAAUUUAGCAAUUGCUUUAGGCUACUUCCUUCCCCUCCCUGUGGUGCUCACAUUAAGACAGCUGACAGGGGCUUUGCUGACAGGAAGGUUUGGGUUCUCUCACAUUGGAGGAUGCUUCAUGUGUAUCUACCACUGCAAAUAUCUCCUCAGACAGAGCUAGGCCAUACCAGGAGUUUUGCCUCAUUUAUUCAAGCCCAUCUUCAUGGGCACUUACCCUCAGGAGAGAAUGUGGACUCUUGAUGCCAAUAGCAGAGAGAGACGCAUACCUGCAGCCCUGAACAAAGCACCUAAGCUCCACAGUAGGGUUUGAUGGACAGUGCCUCACUUUAUAUUUUCUACCUGCAUCUUGCUUAUUCGGUAUGUUGGGGGAAGGCAAAAGAACAAGCUGAGGGCUGUGGGUCUCUGGACCUUCCCAUGCACUGCCUAAAAAAAUGCUAUUUCAUUGUCCCUUCUGCAUAUCAGGUCCUACUCUGGAAUCAAGUCCAUAACGUUAGAGCCAUGCAGGGUAUUUCUCUAAGUGAUUACACCAUCUGCAGUGGAAAACUCAUCUCGGCAAGACAUAUAAAAGGGUAUACCUACAAAUAGACAGUGAAGAGCACAACUGACUUACUUUUCAAGCAUUUAUCAGCAUUCCAAAAAUGAAGAGAACAAACUUUUCUGUGUGUCAUAUCCUGCUAGAUUAAUCUGUGCUUCUGGAAGAAGAAACCCUGAAAAACAUGACUGUAAGUUGUAUUAACUACGUAAUAUAAAGCAAAUGUUUACAUAGUAAAUGUCUCAAGUAUUUUGCUCCCUGCAAAUAUUAGGAUUACAGAAAGCACUUGAUGUGAUGGUGCAGAGAGGAAAUUCUAUUUUGGUUGACAGUGUUAUUCAGAGCUAUAGAAGGAUAAACCAUUGGACAAGGUAAACUGUAGAGCUAAUCUGGAGGGAUGCAAUUUUUAGAAGGAUGGGAAACAGAGGAUAGAGGAGGUGUAGUGGCUCAAUACAGUUUUCUAUAGUACAGUUAGAAUAACAAAGGAAAUGACAGCAAUGCUACAUUUUAAGUAAACCUAAGAAAGGUAGAAAUCCAAAAAGGAAUAAAAGUAGGUGUCUGCAACA
RNAcentral lists this long non-coding RNA (1420 nucleotides) under Anser brachyrhynchus (Pink-footed goose). RNAcentral's name for it is "lncRNA (ENSABRG00000000227.1)". The record is from RNAcentral. Lineage: Eukaryota; Metazoa; Chordata; Aves; Anseriformes; Anatidae.